UACGGGGGGGGCAAGCGUUGUUCGGAAUUACUGGGCGUAAAGGGCUCGUAGGCGGCCAACUAAGUCGGAUGUGAAAUCCCCAGGCUCAACUUGGGAACUGCAUCCGAUACUGGAUGGCUUGAAUUCGGGAGAGGGAUGCAGAAUUCCAGGUGUAGCGGUGAAAUGCGUAGAUAUCUGGAGGAAUACCGGUGGCGAAGGCGGCAUCCUGGACCGACAUUGACGCUGAGGAGCGAAAGCGUGGGGAGCAAACAGGG
Molecule: ribosomal RNA, 254 nt
Filed under: uncultured bacterium
Lineage: Bacteria
Description: partial 16S ribosomal RNA
Rfam family: Bacterial small subunit ribosomal RNA
Source: RNAcentral